Molecule: ribosomal RNA, 253 nt
Filed under: uncultured bacterium
Lineage: Bacteria
Description: partial 16S ribosomal RNA
Rfam family: Bacterial small subunit ribosomal RNA
Source: RNAcentral
UACGGGGGGGGCUAGCGUUGUUCGGAAUUACUGGGCGUAAAGCGCGCGUAGGCGGUUGUUCAAGUCAGGUGUGAAAGCCUUGAGCUCAACUCAAGAAAUGCACUUGAUACUGGAUGACUAGAGGACCGGAGAGGAUAGUGGAAUUCCCAGUGUAGUGGUGAAAUACGUAGAGAUUGGGAAGAACACCAGUGGCGAAGGCGGCUAUCUGGACGGUUUCUGACGCUAAGACGCGAAAGCGUGGGGAGCAAACAGG